ACAUUCAGACAUACUACCCUGAAUGUGCUUAAUCUCAUCUGAUCUCAGAUGCCUAGCUGGGUUGAGCCUGGUUAGUACUUAAAUGAGGCAGUCUUUGAUUUUA
This 103-nucleotide ribosomal RNA is filed under the name Jaculus jaculus (lesser Egyptian jerboa). Lineage: Eukaryota; Metazoa; Chordata; Mammalia; Rodentia; Dipodidae. The record is from RNAcentral.